RNAcentral lists this ribosomal RNA (579 nucleotides) under uncultured bacterium. RNAcentral's name for it is "partial 16S ribosomal RNA". It matches the Rfam family "Bacterial small subunit ribosomal RNA", at positions 355 to 1376 of the family's 1533-position model. The record is from RNAcentral.
UGAGGAAUAUUGGUCAAUGGGCGAGAGCCUGAACCAGCCAAGUCGCGUGAAGGAAGACUGCCUUAUGGGUUGUAAACUUCUUUUAUACAGGAAUAAAAAGGCUUACGUGUAGGCCAUUGCAAGUACUGUAUGAAUAAGCAUCGGCUAACUCCGUGCCAGCAGCCGCGGUAAUACGGAGGAUGCGAGCGUUAUCCGGAUUUAUUGGGUUUAAAGGGUGCGCAGGCGGGCUUUUAAGUCAGCGGUGAAAUCUGGACGCUUAACGUCCAAACUGCCGUUGAAACUGGGAGUCUUGAGUAUGGAUGAAGUAGGCGGAAUUCGUUGUGUAGCGGUGACAUGCAUAGAUAUAACGAGGAACUCCGAUUGCGUAGGCAGCUUACUAAGCCAUAACUGACGCUCAUGCACGAAAGCGUGGGGAUCAAACAGGAUUAGAUACCCUGGUAGUCCACGCCGUAAACGAUGAUUACUAGUUGUAUGCGAUAUGAUAGUAUGUGACUAAGCGAAAGCGAUAAGUAAUCCACCUGGGGAGUACGCCGGCAACGGUGAAACUCAAAGGAUUGACGGGGUCAUAGCUGUUUCCUG